UGUUGGCAGCUGCUCUGACUUCUUUGCACUACUGUAUGAGACAGCGAGCAGUGCAAUAGUAUUGUCAAAGCAUCUGACAGCAGC
This is a non-coding RNA of Xyrichtys novacula (pearly razorfish), 84 nucleotides long. NCBI's taxonomy places the organism in Eukaryota, Metazoa, Chordata, Actinopteri, Labriformes, Labridae. The record is from the annotation of a GenBank genome assembly.